UUCUAAAAUUUAUAGUAGAAUUUUAUUUUUUAGUCAAAAAGCUAGAAUAAAUUUAAAAGACGAGAAGACCCUAUAAAUCUUUAUAUAUAGAUUAUUAGAAUUUUGUAGAUUUUUUUUAUUAUAAUAAUUAAUUAUAUUUUAUUGGGGUGAUAUUAAAAUUUAAUAAACUUUUAAUUUUUAAGAUCAUUAAUUUAUGAAUAAUUGAUCCGUUAUUAACGAUUAAAAAACUAAGUUACCUUAGGGAUAACAG
This 250-nucleotide ribosomal RNA is filed under the name Sarcophaga melanura. RNAcentral's name for it is "partial 16S ribosomal RNA". Lineage: Eukaryota; Metazoa; Arthropoda; Insecta; Diptera; Sarcophagidae. The record is from RNAcentral.